This 400-nucleotide long non-coding RNA is filed under the name Homo sapiens (human). RNAcentral's name for it is "HSALNT0043034". The record is from RNAcentral. Lineage: Eukaryota; Metazoa; Chordata; Mammalia; Primates; Hominidae.
CUGCCGCACCCGCGGAUCGCCGCGCGGCGCGGGAGCCCGGGGUUGCCGGACUCGCGUGCGCGGGGGCAGCGUCCCCGCGCCGGCCGGAGGGAGGCGCGCCCCCGCCGCGCCGCUCGGGCUCCAGCGCCGCUGCCACCUGACUCCCCCUGUCUCCCGCGGAAGCGCGCCUCUCUCCUGACCCACACCCAACACGGGGAGAAAUGCUGCUGCUCUCGCUCAGCUGCCGCUUCUCGGGAGUUCAAUGUGAUCGUUUCUCAAAAUGGAACUGAAAAGUUGAGAGUUCCUUCUUUCUUGCCCCUCUGUACUGUGCAGAAAAACGUAUGUGCGCCUCCCCGUCUGCAGAAUGGGAAUAAUGACCGAAUAAAAGAGCUAUGAAAAUAAACAUGGGUAGUGGGAGAGU